This 222-nucleotide ribosomal RNA is filed under the name uncultured bacterium. Its description in RNAcentral is "partial 16S ribosomal RNA". It matches the Rfam family "Bacterial small subunit ribosomal RNA", at positions 109 to 334 of the family's 1533-position model. The record is from RNAcentral.
AGUAAUGUAUGGGGAUCUGCCCGAUAGAGGGGAAUAACUACUGGAAACGGUGGCUAAUACCGUAUAAUGUCUACGGACCAAAGCAGGGGCUCUUCGGACCUUGCACUAUCGGAUGAACCCAUAUGGGAUUAGCUAGUAGGUGGGGUAAAGGCUCACCUAGGCGACGAUCUCUAGCUGGUCUGAGAGGAUGAUCAGCCACACUGGGACUGAGACACGGCCCAG